UACGUAGGGGGCAAGCGUUGUCCGGAAUCAUUGGGCGUAAAGCGCGAGUAGGCGGUCCGGUAAGUCCGCUGUGAAAGUCGGGGGCUCAACCCUGGAACGCCGGUGGAUACUGUCGGGCUAGAGUCCGGAAGAGGCGAGUGGAAUUCCUGGGGUAGCGGUGGAAUGCGCAGAUAUCAGGAGGAACACCGAUGGCGAAGGCAGCUCGCUGGGACGGUACUGACGCUGAGGCGCGAAAGCGUGGGGAGCGAACAGG
RNAcentral lists this ribosomal RNA (253 nucleotides) under uncultured bacterium. Its description in RNAcentral is "partial 16S ribosomal RNA". It matches the Rfam family "Bacterial small subunit ribosomal RNA", at positions 524 to 776 of the family's 1533-position model. The record is from RNAcentral.